This 292-nucleotide ribosomal RNA is filed under the name uncultured bacterium. RNAcentral's name for it is "partial 16S ribosomal RNA". RNAcentral also lists the same sequence under 1 other name. The record is from RNAcentral.
GGACUACCCGGGUAUCUAAUCCCGUUUGCUCCCCUGGCCUUCGUACUUCAGCGUCAGGAACUGUCUAGAGACCCGCCUUCGCCACUGGUCUUCCUUACGAUAUCUACGCAUUUCACUGCUACACCGUAAAUUCCAGUCUCCUCUCCAGUCCUCAAGCACGGCAGUAUCGAAUGCAGUUUCGGAGUUAAGCCCCGAGAUUUCACACCCGACUUACCGCGCCGCCUACGCACCCUUUACGCCCAAUGAAUCCGAACAACGCUUGAGACCUCUGUAUUACCGCGGCGGCUGGCAC